Molecule: ribosomal RNA, 279 nt
Filed under: uncultured bacterium
Lineage: Bacteria
Description: partial 16S ribosomal RNA
Rfam family: Bacterial small subunit ribosomal RNA
Source: RNAcentral
CCUACGGGGGGCAGCAGUGAGGAAUAUUGGUCAAUGGGCGCGAUCCUGAACCAGCCAAGUCGCGUGAGGGAAGACGGUCCUAUGGAUUGUAAACCUCUUUUGUCGGGGAACAAAAGACGCCACGCGUGGCGGUCCGAGUGUACCCGAAGAAAAAGCAUCGGCUAACUCCGUGCCAGCAGCCGCGGUAAUACGGAGGAUGCGAGCGUUAUCCGGAUUUAUUGGGUUUAAAGGGUGCGCAGGCGGAAUGUCAAGUCAGCUGUGAAAGUUAGAGGCUCAACC